GCUCCACCCAUUUGUUUUGGCACUUUUCUUCAAUAAGAAUCCUGCUGUUAUCUCUCCCUCAGGCCCUGCAGUCUUCAAAGCUGAGCCUUCGGAUGCAUCCUUGUCCAGCUGACUUGGUUUCUCUUUCAUAGAUUUCAAGUUUCCUCCAACUUGCUGGCUUCCAGUUUGAGGACUGGUUGCCCUAUUCAACAUUGAUUGCUCUGCUUCAUGUGCCUUCUUAGAACCCCGAUUUUUUAGCUCAUCCUCACGUCUCUGUCUGUCCAUUCUCCUCUGCACCAAGCGGAUAAAGUGUUGAGGGGGGACAAAAGCUCGCUCCAUGUCAACAAGGGCAACUACCAUUUUCUUGGCAUCAGUUUUAAAUCCAUCCAAUGCAUCGGAAGCAAUUGCUACAACCUCUCUCUUGAAUGGAGGAUAUCGUCCAAGUCCAGGUGUGGCAUUUGCAGCAGAGGAGACAAUAUCAACAAGUACACGAUGCACCUCAUCAACACAAAGACGUGAAGGUUCUUUCGCCUGCUCCAAAACACCUUUUAUCAAAGACCUCAACCCCUUCUCAGGAGAAAUUAGGUAGGGUUGAUAACCAUCGGCUUCUAACACAAUCCGCUUGACAUUAUUUAUGUCAAAAUGUUUAUCUAAGGGGAGCUGCUUUAUCCUAUUCGGGAAGUUCCCCUCAAAACUUGCAACCACCUUCCAUCCAUCACCCUCGCCGCCAGUGAUAUGCAACAGAAACUUAUCCUCAAAUUCACGGCAAAGCUCAAGUGCUAGGGCUUUGGUACCUUCAGCACUAUGAACCAUUUGCUCCCCAAGCCUGACCAACUCAUCUUGUACAACUUGAGACUUCCCCUGAAGCCCGGAAAGCAAAUUCGGAAGUCUGACUUUCAUUCUACUGCGUAUCUGGUGAGCAAGGGUCUCGAUUAAAGCUAACCUACCAAGCUUACUUUGAGGAGCUCCAGUCAAUAUUGAUUUUAAGCUUUCACUCUCAGCUCGCCAUGCAGUCUCCAACGAGUUAUCAGAUCCAACAUUUCCAGACUGGGCAGAAGCUAUAGAAACAGAUUGACCAAUCAAGGCAACCCACGGGAUAUCAGUUGUGCCUCGUGGUCCUUGGUUUGACAAAAGGGCUUGAACAGCUGCAAGCACUUUCGGCUCUGAAGCUGCUUGAUCUAUCUUGCUAAUCACACCGACGGUUCUAGUACAUUCACUAUCAUACUCCUUCGCAAUUCUGAUAGCUUUACAUGAAGCAACUUCAGGAGCCUGAGCAGCAGAAAUUACGACCAGCAAUAUGGCGUCAUUGUGCUCAACAUAUUGAGUCAUUGAAUCAUCAAGAUUUGACUUGUCAACGCCAGGCAAAUCAACCAGCUUCAAUGGUGGAGCCGUGCUUGUUCUUAGCUUCAAAUAUAUUUCAUCACGACUCUUGCUUGAAAUUUUACUUAGUCUAUCCUGUAAAGAAUGUCGAAGAGCACUUGCAGACACUGGCUGUGAUUUACUGUCAAUCUGCAAAAUGAUCGAUUUACUGCUCAACGAACUAUCUCGUUUUAGAUCAAUGCAUAUGGGGGCACGAGUGGCACCGCCUUCACCUGUUGGCAAAGCAGGAUGGCCAAUUAGACUGUUCAGUACAGCUGAUUUACCAGCACCAGUGCCACCGAUAGCAACAACAUUAAGAAAAGUGGACGGCCGUUUCGAAGACGAGGAAGAGUUUUCAUCAACAUCUUCAUCGGCAAGCAAAGAGGCAGCUUGCUUCAUCGAAUCUGACAGCUGCUCCAAUUCCUCGAUUGCUUCCAUAUAUUACUGUCUUCUUUGUUGACAAUCUAAAUCUUCAGUUCAAAUCGAACAGCUCAAACUAAAUCGACGGUUGACAAAGUGACUCGACCGAUCAGAUUGAACAACAGAAAACACGGAACGGGAUCUUCACAGAUCGAAGUUGAAAAGAGAAAAGCCCUAGAUUCGAGGAAAGAACGAGCGAAGAUCUGAGUCAAAGGGAAGUAAAACCAGUGAGAAUAUGUGUUGAAAUGGUAGGGUUUUUCCUCCGAUUGACGCGUAACGAACGGGAAAUGAUGCCGGGAUGAGAGAGAUUUGAAAAGUUUUU
RNAcentral lists this unclassified non-coding RNA (2080 nucleotides) under Hevea brasiliensis (rubber tree). Lineage: Eukaryota; Viridiplantae; Streptophyta; Magnoliopsida; Malpighiales; Euphorbiaceae. The record is from RNAcentral.